UAGGGAAUCUUCCACAAUGGACGCAAGUCUGAUGGAGCAACGCCGCGUGAGUGAAGAAGGUUUUCGGACCGUAAAACUCUGUUGUUGGUGAAGAAGGAUAGAGGUAGUAACUGGCCUUUAUUUGACGGUAAUCAACCAGAAAGUCACGGCUAACUACGUGCCAGCAGCCGCGGUAAUCGUAGGUGGCAAGCGUUGUCCGGAUUUAUUGGGCGUAAAGCGAGCGCAGGCGGAAGAAUAAGUCUGAUGUGAAAGCCCUCGGCUUAACCGAGGAAUUGCAUCGGAAACUGUUUUUCUUGAGUGCAGAAGAGGAGAGUAGAACUCCAUGUGUAGCGGUGGAAUGCGUAGAUAUAUGGAAGAAUACCGGUGGCGAAGGCGGCUCUCUGGUCUGCAACUGACGCUGAGGCUCGAAAGCAUGGGUAGCGAACAGGAUUAGAUACCCUGGUAGUCCAUGCCGUAAACGAUGAGUGCUAAGUGUUGGGAGGCUUCCGCCUCUCAGUGCUGCAGCUAACGCAUUAAGCACUCCGCCUGGGGGAGUACGACCGCAAGGUUGAAAC
This 554-nucleotide ribosomal RNA is filed under the name uncultured bacterium. Its description in RNAcentral is "partial 16S ribosomal RNA". It matches the Rfam family "Bacterial small subunit ribosomal RNA", at positions 355 to 900 of the family's 1533-position model. The record is from RNAcentral.